RNAcentral lists this ribosomal RNA (274 nucleotides) under uncultured bacterium. Its description in RNAcentral is "partial 16S ribosomal RNA". It matches the Rfam family "Bacterial small subunit ribosomal RNA", at positions 523 to 796 of the family's 1533-position model. The record is from RNAcentral.
AUACGGAGGGUGCAAGCGUUACUCGGAAUCACUGGGCGUAAAGCGCGCGCAGGCGGCCUGAUAAGUUGGAUGUGAAAGCCUACGGCUCAACCGUAGAACUGCAUCCAAAACUGUCAGGCUAGAGUGUGGGAGAGGAAGAUGGAAUUAGUUGUGUAGGGGUAAAAUCCGUAGAGAUAACUAGGAAUACCAAAAGCGAAGGCAAUCUCCUGGAACACUACUGACGCUCAGGCGCGAAGGCGUGGGGAGCAAACAGGAUUAGAAACCCCAGUAGUCC